GAAAAUGUCCCCUAGGGUUCCGCGGCGCCUGGCGCGCCGGACUGGUCCGAGAGGGGGCUCACGGCACUGUUGCCGUGCCACGGAAGGACAAAAGCCUGGGAGAU
Molecule: small RNA, 104 nt
Filed under: Bhargavaea cecembensis
Lineage: Bacteria; Bacillati; Bacillota; Bacilli; Caryophanales; Caryophanaceae
Also listed under: 1 other name
Description: Guanidine-I sequence
Rfam family: Guanidine-I riboswitch aptamer
About the family: This family represents a conserved RNA structure found upstream of the ykkC and yxkD genes in Bacillus subtilis and related genes in other bacteria. The function of this family is unclear although it has been suggested that it may function to switch on efflux pumps and detoxification systems in response to harmful environmental molecules.
Source: RNAcentral